This is a non-coding RNA of Arachis ipaensis, 1461 nucleotides long. NCBI's taxonomy places the organism in Eukaryota, Viridiplantae, Streptophyta, Magnoliopsida, Fabales, Fabaceae. The record is from RefSeq and is a predicted model, not a curated record.
UAUGCGGUGGUAGUUAUAGAAUAAUGAUGAUGAUGAAAAAGAAUUAAUAAAAUUGAGCGUCCAUCGUCUUCAUCGUCCGUCGUCCUUGGUCUGCGCUGCACUGCUUUGCGCUGGUCGUGCGUCUACUCUACUCUGCUUUCCACUGGUGGUGUGUCGCUUCCGUCGCGUUCCGUCGUCGUGGAUCGCUACGCCGCUACUCGCGUCACCACACCUCGCCACACCUCGCCUUGCUGCCUGAAGUCGAUCUGCCAAAACAGGUAACAGGUUAAUUUUUUCUUUUGUUUUUUCAAAGUUAAUGAAACAGGUUUAAACAAAUGAUAAUUUUUCUAAUUUCUGAAUUGAUUUGAUAUACCUAUUUGUUUAAUUGAAUUCUGAAUUCUUUUGAUACAAUAGUUUGGGUUUACAAUAUGAAUAUAUAUAUAAGGGUUUUGUGAAUUGAUGAAUUGACAUAUGAAUUGGUUUUGUUGAUUAUGAAUUUACUUUAUUGUUGAUGGUUGUUGCUGUGAUGAAUACCAUGCUUCUUCUAACCACUGGUUCUGUUCUUGUCGAGGCUUUGCCUCAUGAUUUCUUUCGGGGUGGAGGUCGAGAUGGAGAAAGCUUAAACUAUCUUGGUCGCUUAUUGAUGAAGUUAAGAUCAGAGUUUCUUGGCGAGUCGUCAUCAUCGUGCGAACAAUUGAAAUUUUUAACACUUGUCUGAUCAAUGAACAUGAUCAAAUUGAUCUAUUUUGAGGGUUUGGGUGAGGCUGAUUGGACAUUACUGCAACUUUAGUUAGAGUCUAUGUAGUUAUUUUGUUGACAUCCUAGUUGAUAAUGAACUUGUCCAAGAAAGUAUCCCAAACGACGAUGUCAGCUCCCUGAUGAUAUAACCCAUGAUUUUAAGGUCGUGGGAGAAGAGUCCCAAGGUCUUAAUGACCUUUCUUUAGCAGGCUUAUCCAUACAUGAUGAUAUUGAAGGCUUGAUGUUUCAUUCUUCUAAAGGAAGUAGAUAUAUAUUCAAUGAGCAGGAAGAAUUAUCUCAGCAGCACAUUAAUGGCAAUAACUUCUUAAAUGACAUCUUUGCUGAGAAUGCAAUCGUGGAUGAUACUAAUUUGAACCCUUUGGAGUUCUUAGCUUCUAUGUUCUCUGGUUUUGCUGCAGAAAGCCUUGUGAUAGUGACAUUGGUUUCAAUUCGGACAUUGGUUCAGACUUUGAUUGAAGUUUUUGGUGGAAAGAGCUAACUUGUUGGGACACCUGAUGAACUCAAGUCUGCUCUUUUAGAAUUAGUUGUUAUUAAUGUUAUUAUUGAUCCUUAUGCCGGUUCAGAGAGUGGGAGGCUGCAAUACAAGAAUUGAUUUUUAGAUUUUAUGUAUUAUACUGAAACUAUGCUUUCUAUUGUUUUCAUUUUUAGAUUUCAAAUUACAUAGCCUUGUGAUUUUCUAUAAUAUACUAUGAUAUGAUAAAGACACAAACUAUAUUUCAUGAA